RNAcentral lists this ribosomal RNA (493 nucleotides) under uncultured bacterium. RNAcentral describes it as "bacterial SSU rRNA". It matches the Rfam family "Bacterial small subunit ribosomal RNA", at positions 29 to 517 of the family's 1533-position model. The record is from RNAcentral.
AGCGAACGUUUGCGGCGGGCUUAACACAUGCAAGUCGAACGAGAAUCCCUUCGGGGAGGAAAGUGGCGCACGGGUGCGUAACACGUGGAUAACCAACCCAUUGGUUUGGGACAACACCGGGAAACUGGUGCUAAUACCAGAUGUGUCGCAGCUGUCUUCAGGCGGUUGCGAGAAAGGCCCGCAAGGGUCGCCAACGGACGGGUCCGCGUCCCAUCAGCUAGUUGGUGAGGUAAUGGCUCACCAAGGCAAAGACGGGUAGCUGGUCUGAGAGGAUGAUCAGCCACACUGGAACUGAGACACGGUCCAGACUCCUACGGGAGGCAGCAGUGGGGAAUAUUGCGCAAUGGGCGAAAGCCUGACGCAGCCACGCCGCGUGAGCGAUGAAGGUCUUCGGAUCGUAAAGCUCUGUGGGGGGAGAAGAAGAAAGCCGGUGAAGAGCCGGCCCUGACGGUAUCCCCUUAGCAAGCACCGGCUAACUCUGUGCCAGCAGCCG